UGGGGAAUCUUGCACAAUGGGGGCAACCCUGAUGCAGCGACGCCGCGUGAGCGAUGAAGCCCUUCGGGGCGUAAAGCUCUUUCGACCGGAACGAUAAUGACGGUACCGGGAGAAGAAGCUGCGGCUAACUACGUGCCAGCAGCCGCGGGAAUACGUAGGCAGCAAGCGUUGUUCGGAGUUACUGGGCGUAAAGAGUGCGUAGGCGGUUUUCUAAGUUCGGUGUGAAAUCUCCCGGCUUAACUGGGAGGGUGCGCCGAAGACUGGGAAGCUGGAGUGUGGGAAAGGCAGGCGGAAGUCCUGGUGUAGCGGUGAAAUGCGUAGAUAUCAGGAGGAACACCGGCGGUGUAGACGGCUUGCUAGACCAUAACUGACGCUGAGGCACGAAAGCGUGGGUAGCAAACA
This 402-nucleotide ribosomal RNA is filed under the name uncultured bacterium. RNAcentral describes it as "bacterial SSU rRNA". It matches the Rfam family "Bacterial small subunit ribosomal RNA", at positions 355 to 774 of the family's 1533-position model. The record is from RNAcentral.